UACGUAGGUGGCGAGCGUUGUCCGGAUUUAUUGGGCGUAAAGCGCGCGCAGGCGGUCGUCUAAGUCCGGCGUGAAAGCCCCCGGCUCAACCGGGGGAGGUCGCGGGAUACUGGGGGACUUGGAGGCGGGCAGAGGCCGGUGGAAUUCCCGGUGUAGUGGUGAAAUGCGUAGAGAUCGGGAGGAACACCAGUGGCGAAAGCGGCCGGCUGGGCCUGGCCUGACGCUGAGGCGCGAAAGCGUGGGGAGCGAA
Molecule: ribosomal RNA, 250 nt
Filed under: uncultured bacterium
Lineage: Bacteria
Description: partial 16S ribosomal RNA
Rfam family: Bacterial small subunit ribosomal RNA
Source: RNAcentral